UAUUCCGGAAAACCGUAUUUAGAAGCAUGAUUGACGACCAAAGAAAAAUGAGAAAGUAACAUUUUAAUGUGGAGCUUGGUAAUCGCCUAGAAUGAAUGGCGAUAUACAGUUUACUGCACCCUCCAAUGCGCAAAAGAGGCAGGAUGGCAAAAUUCAUGACUAUCUUAAGCAAGCAAGGAGACGGCUAAAAAGCCACCCCGGCUUUUCCUCCUCCACCAGCUGAGGCACCCGGUCUCCCGGUUUCCACACGCGUUCAGAGACACAAACUCACCCGCCGCUGAGGAAACGGUACUGCCUUCGCGACCUUCUGGGAUCCAGGUUACGAGUGCGCUCCACUGGUUCGAGAUUUCUGCCCGUCGCUCGCCAGGGAGACUGAGUGCCCAAGCGCCUACUCGCACAGGCCGCAAAUACAGCCGCGCUGCGCGGGGAGCUGCUGGAGGUCUUCCUCUUGCCCGGCGUGCACUGCGGCCGGGGGCGGGGAGCGCGGAACCAUAGAGAAGAACGUAUAUAGAUCGUCUCCGCUGUUGGCUCUGACUCACCAAGCCGAGACGAAUAACCAUAGAGAAGCAGCGUCUAGCGGUUACUAGAAAGGCCCGAGCUGUAAAUUAUGACCCACCAUGUUUGAUUGGAGCCGACUGAAUCUUACGACUACGGGACGCCAUCUUGAGGUCAAGGUUCCGGCUGGGCACGGCGCGAGGAGUGUUAGAGGAUUUCUCACUUUUCGUAGUUUUUCGGGGGGUAGAACCUUGCUUUGUGAUUCCUUGAGGUUCGAGGAACUGAUAACUGGGCGCGAUCCGCAACCUUAGUGUUAAACCCCAAGUACUGUUAUAACAACUACUCGAGAUCAACAAAUAAUUGGCAAAGGCUGUGGAGGUUUUUUGAAAAGCAAAAGCUUAUGCGUAGUUGUAGGGCCAAAGAGGUGGCUAGAAGAUGUUUGGAAAAACGUGAAAAGUCCUGUAAUACUAGUUAACACAGCUUUCGUUCUGUAAUCUAAACGUGCUAAAAGAACUUAGCUUAAGUUAAUGGAAAUGAAUAAAAUUAAUCAUAAAUGAUUACGUUAUUCAAAUUGUGGACCUUAUAGGCAAUAUCUAGUUAUACGCCUUUCUCAACUGCUUGCCUCUAGGAAGGCAUAAAACGUAUUCAGUAUAAAGUUAUUGCCUCCCUGAGUUCCUGGUGCUGUGUUAAGUGCUGGAAGUAUGAAGGCAAAUGGAAGUGAGAUUUGUUCCUGUCCUGCAAGAACGUGAGCCAGGUGAAAUAGAUGACAAACCAUGACCAGCCUAAUAUAAAAUUGAAACAUACUACACACUUCCUGCCUGCCUCCCCUACUUAAUUUUACUCUAAAGCACUCAUAACCAUCUAUCAUAACAUACAUUUUUCUUGCUGAUUUUAUGGUCCGUCACUACCCCCACUAGAAUGUGAAUGUAAGCAAUGCAUGGAUUGCCUGUUUUGUGCAAGAACAGGUCCUGGUACAUAGCAAGCGCUCAAUAAAUAUUUGUUGAGUGACAGAAAUGAUUACCGGCCGGGCGCGGUGGCUCACGCCUGUAACCCCAGCACUUUGGGAGGCCGAGGCGGGUGGAUCACCUGAGGUUAGGAUUUCGAGGCCACCCUGGCCAACAUGGCAAAACCCCGUCUCUACUGAAAAUACAAAAAUAAACCAGGCGUGGUGGCAGGCGCCUGUAAUCCCAGCUACUCGGGAGGCUGAGGCAGGAGAAUCGCUUGAACCCUGGAGGCGGAGGUUGCAGUGAGCCGAGAUGGCACCACUGCACUCCAGCCUGGGCAACAAAGCGAGACAUUGUCUCAAAAAAAAAAAAAAAAAAAAAAAAAAAAAACAGAAAAGAAAUGAUUAACAUAUGAUGAGUACCAAUAGAACACAAAAUUUAGUGGGAGCACAAAUGAGAAAGUAGCAGUAAUUACUACCAUCUGCAAAAUUUACAUCCUUCUAUACUUCUGCUUGCUAGGUUUCCUUACCAUUAACUAAAGUUAAUAAUACCUUUGGCUGUGCGUGAUGACGAGUGCUUGUAGUCCCAGUUACUUGGGAGACGAAAUUAACUUAUGUAUGUUUGUACUUUGUUCAGUAAAGUGCUAUUCAAAUUUAUAGUUUU
Long non-coding RNA from Pan troglodytes (chimpanzee), 2102 nucleotides. RefSeq lists it as uncharacterized. The transcript has 2 exons. Lineage: Eukaryota; Metazoa; Chordata; Mammalia; Primates; Hominidae. The record is from RefSeq and is a predicted model, not a curated record.